Molecule: ribosomal RNA, 484 nt
Filed under: uncultured Bacillota bacterium
Lineage: Bacteria; Bacillati; Bacillota
Description: bacterial SSU rRNA
Rfam family: Bacterial small subunit ribosomal RNA
Source: RNAcentral
UAGGGAAUCUUCCGCAAUGGACGAAAGUCUGACGGAGCAACGCCGCGUGAACGAUGAAGGUCUUCGGAUCGUAAAGUUCUGUUGUCAGGGAAGAACAAGUACCGUGCGAAUAGAGCGGUACCUUGACGGUACCUGACGAGGAAGCCACGGCUAACUACGUGCCAGCAGCCGCGGUAAUACGUAGGUGGCAAGCGUUGUCCGGAAUUAUUGGGCGUAAAGCGCGCGCAGGCGGUUCCUUAAGUCUGAUGUGAAAGCCCACGGCUCAACCGUGGAGGGUCAUUGGAAACUGGGGAACCUGAGUACAGAAGAGGAGAGUGGAAUUCCACGUGUAGCGGUGAAAUGCGUAGAUAUGUGGAGGAACACCAGUGGCGAAGGCGACUCUCUGGUCUGUAACUGACGCUGAGGCGCGAAAGCGUGGGGAGCAAACAGGAUUAGAUACCCUGGUAGUCCACGCCGUAAACGAUGAGUGCUAGGUGUUAGGGGG